Mycena epipterygia is the source of this 96-nucleotide non-coding RNA. The record is from the annotation of a GenBank genome assembly. NCBI's taxonomy places the organism in Eukaryota, Fungi, Basidiomycota, Agaricomycetes, Agaricales, Mycenaceae.
GGCCGUCUAGCUCAGUUGGUUAGAGCGUCGUGCUAAUAUUCGUAACAUCGAAUCCAUAUUACGCGAAGGUCUUGGGUUCGACCCCCACGAUGGCCA